CGGCCUAAUUCCGAUUUAUCUCAUCUUAUUCUCUCACAGAAUAUUAUUGAUUCAGUCGAAAUCAGAUCAGUCGAAACCAGCGAUACUUAGGCAUUUGGCAACCCAGUGUCACAGUGACAGUAACUCAUCACUCAUCUCCGAAAGCACGGCGUACAUGUGGCCCUUCUCGCGGCGCCUAGCUGCCGGUCGAUCUGAGUGGCUC
Panicum virgatum (switchgrass) is the source of this 202-nucleotide long non-coding RNA. RefSeq lists it as uncharacterized. NCBI's taxonomy places the organism in Eukaryota, Viridiplantae, Streptophyta, Magnoliopsida, Poales, Poaceae. The record is from RefSeq and is a predicted model, not a curated record. The transcript is spliced from 2 exons.